CCCCGGCCCCUCCCUGGGCUGGCAUGGAGGCCCAAGUUGUGGCUCCUCCUCCACCCCAGCCCUGACCCUGCCUGAGCCUAGCCUCUGAUUCUUGUCCCUCAACCCUGGCUCAGAGCCCCCGACAUCCUCCCCUGGGGUUGGUCUCAGGUCCCAUAUCACAAGCCAGCUGUCUUCCUUUCAGCCCGGGCCGCGCAACGGGGACCUUCGACAAUGAAAUUGUCAUGAUGAAUCAUGUGUACCGGGAGAGGUUCCCCAAGGCCACAGCACAGAUGGAGGGCCGUCUGCAGGAGUUCCUGACGGCCUAUGCGCCUGGCGCCCGGCUGGCGCUGGCUGAUGGCGUCUUGGGCUUCAUCCACCACCAGAUCGUCGAGCUGGCCCGAGACUGCUUGGCCAAGUCUGGCGAGAACCUCGUCACCUCCCGCUACUUCCUAGAGAUGCAGGAGAAGCUGGA
RNAcentral lists this small RNA (451 nucleotides) under Pongo abelii (Sumatran orangutan). RNAcentral's name for it is "retained intron". Lineage: Eukaryota; Metazoa; Chordata; Mammalia; Primates; Hominidae. The record is from RNAcentral.